This 74-nucleotide transfer RNA is filed under the name Candidatus Nanohaloarchaea archaeon. Its description in RNAcentral is "tRNA-Lys". It matches the Rfam family "tRNA". Rfam says of the family: Transfer RNA (tRNA) molecules are approximately 80 nucleotides in length. Their secondary structure includes four short double-helical elements and three loops (D, anti-codon, and T loops). Lineage: Archaea; Methanobacteriati; Methanobacteriota; Candidatus Nanohaloarchaea. The record is from RNAcentral.
GGGCCCGUAGCUCAGUCUGGCAGAGCACCGGCCUUUUAAGCCGGGCGUCGCGGGUUCAAAUCCCGUCGGGCCCA